RNAcentral lists this ribosomal RNA (253 nucleotides) under uncultured bacterium. Its description in RNAcentral is "partial 16S ribosomal RNA". It matches the Rfam family "Bacterial small subunit ribosomal RNA", at positions 524 to 776 of the family's 1533-position model. The record is from RNAcentral.
UACGUAGGGUGCAAGCGUUAAUCGGAAUUACUGGGCGUAAAGCGUGCGCAGGCGGUGAUGCAAGUCAGAUGUGAAAUCCCCAGGCUUAACCUGGGAACUGCAUUUGUGACUGCAUUGCUGGAGUGCGGCAGAGGGGGAUGGAAUUCCGCGUGUAGCAGUGAAAUGCGUAGAUAUGCGGAGGAACACCGAUGGCGAAGGCAAUCCCCUGGGCGUGCACUGACGCUCAUGCACGAAAGCGUGGGGAGCAAACAGG